This 254-nucleotide ribosomal RNA is filed under the name uncultured bacterium. Its description in RNAcentral is "partial 16S ribosomal RNA". It matches the Rfam family "Bacterial small subunit ribosomal RNA", at positions 524 to 776 of the family's 1533-position model. The record is from RNAcentral.
UACGUAGGGGGCAAGCGUUGUUCGGAUUUACUGGGCGUAAAGGGCGCGUAGGCGGCAAAUUAAGUCAGCUGUGAAAUCUCCGAGCUUAACUCGGAACUGUCAGCUGAUACUGAUGUGCUAGAGUGCGGAAGGGGCAAUCGGAAUUCUUGGUGUAGCGGUGAAAUGCGUAGAUAUCAAGAGGAACACCUGAGGUGAAGACGGGUUGCUGGGCCGACACUGACGCUGAGUGCGCGAAAGCCAGGGGAGCAAACGGG